CUCGCGAUAGCUCAGUUGGUAGAGCGGAGGACUGUAGGUGAUAUUUGUGGCUAUCCUUAGGUCGCUGGUUCGAAUCCGGCUCGCGAGA
RNAcentral lists this transfer RNA (88 nucleotides) under Lingula anatina. It matches the Rfam family "tRNA". From Rfam's summary of the family: Transfer RNA (tRNA) molecules are approximately 80 nucleotides in length. Their secondary structure includes four short double-helical elements and three loops (D, anti-codon, and T loops). Further hydrogen bonds mediate the characteristic L-shaped molecular structure. tRNAs have two regions of fundamental functional importance: the anti-codon, which is responsible for specific mRNA codon recognition, and the 3' end, to which the tRNAs corresponding amino acid is attached (by aminoacyl-tRNA synthetases). tRNAs cope with the degeneracy of the genetic code in two manners: having more than one tRNA (with a specific anti-codon) for a particular amino acid; and 'wobble' base-pairing, i.e. permitting non-standard base-pairing at the 3rd anti-codon position. The record is from Rfam by way of RNAcentral. Lineage: Eukaryota; Metazoa; Brachiopoda; Lingulata; Lingulida; Lingulidae.